GGGUAAACGGGAGAAAUCCUGAAUUCGAAAGGGGCCCUGGAUUCAACGCGAUCCUGCCAAAGAGUGCUUCGACUCUUGCCAGAUGGCGCCGGGCGCCCGCGGCGAUUCACUUCGCUCGCGGUGUCGUCGCAGGCGUUCACUCGGCGGGUUGUUCGUCACAAGCUGGGACGUGUGCACUUCCACCCUAGUAGAAACGUCGCGACCCGCUGGGUGCCGGCCUCAAGGCCCGGGAUGGCAGACCGCGCGUCCCGCCGGAGUUUCCAGAUUCCACCGCGGGCGCGAGGACUCCCGGUGACCCGGCCGGCUGCCCGGCGGUACAACCAGAGGAGUCGAUCCGCUAAAUGAAUGAAACACUGUGGUAUUGUGAAGCGUCCGGCCCGGCGCCGACGCGUGCGGGGGAAAAACGAAAACGAAGGGAGUUGCAAAAUGACCGGGGGGAAACCCGUGCCCGGCACGGUCCCGGCCCCGCCGCGCGUUCGGUCGCCGGAACAUCUCGGACUGGAUCGAAACUCCCGUCCGCGACGACCACCUUCGGAUGG
Molecule: ribosomal RNA, 539 nt
Filed under: Gratidia sp. TRB-2009
Lineage: Eukaryota; Metazoa; Arthropoda; Insecta; Phasmatodea; Diapheromeridae
Description: partial 28S large subunit ribosomal RNA
Source: RNAcentral